GCGGGAGGUUCCUGCCCACUGGAGCCCUGUGACCCCCUCGGUUUGGCGUAGAAGGAUUCCCUCCCUACAGUGGCUCUGUGACCCCCUCAGACAGAAGCACAGCCGGGCGGCCACACAGACCUGGCACACACGGGCGAGGCCGGCGCAGGUGCGGGAGCUGCGCUGCCAACUGCUGCCCCGCAAACCAGCGGAAACCACAGCCUGGGGAUCAGCUGGCUGACCCUGACUUUAUCAUUUUAGCUUUACCUUCUAAUAUCUGAAAAUUAGCAAAAAGUCGAGCAAUGAAAAAAAUGUAAAGAAAAAGUAAAAACUUAAAAAUUACGUUUGAAAUUAAAACUGUAGGGACAUUUUGAAACUGAUGAAGAAAAAUUUGCCAAAAUUACCAAAGCUUUUAGAACUAUUACUUCAAAAUGUAGCAACAUUUAAUAUUAUGAAAGAGACCUACACUGUCUAUGUCUGGUGCUCAAUUUGGAUGUUAAGACGCCCGGUAACCUCCUGGAUCAACCAGGCUGGUUAGGUAGGAUGCUGUAUUAGAGGAAUUUAGUUGUUUUUCUUUACCACUGAAGAAAACAAAACAUUGGUUAAAAAUAUUUCCUGACUUCUGUUUUCAAAUAAUUGAGAAGCCUCCUAUGAAACACCUGGGAAUACUGGAUGAAUGUACAGCACAGAAUGGUGGCUGGAAUCCUCAUUUGAAUAAACUGCAGAGACAGCAAGUGAGACAGCCUCCACAGACAACUCAAUCUCCUACUUCCUCUACGCUUCUGAACUGAGACUAGGUGGACUUCGAGUCACGUGACGUGCAGGAGAUGGUUUAGCUGGAGACUUCUUCAGGGCCCACCAAGGACACCAGAGAGAGUUCCAGAAGGAGCGGGCCAUUAGCCAAUUUCCAUUCCAGGUCUGGCUACAGACUCCGCCACGCACUGUGGAGCCCCUGCCUCGUGUGUGGUGAAGUGUGGGACCCAACCCCGACAGUCUCUUCUGCCUGGGACUUCUGGGCUCCUUCCACGGAGGGGCCCAUGGUCACCUCUGCUCGGAGGGUCACAGUCCAAGUUCCUGCCACCACCCUCCGAGUUGCUCUCCCCCCAGCUGGGGACCUCGCACAGCGCAGGCCGGGCUGGGGUGGGCUCCAGAGGGCGGAGCAGGAACCUCACCGGAAACUUCUGACUGUGGACACAUGGCAACGGCCAGGUGCUCACGGCCCCAGCCAGGCCGAUGCAGUCCAGUGUCAGCCACUUUCUUAAAGACUUUGGUUCCUCAGAGAGAGAAAUAGUUUGCACGUAAGAACUUCCACAUGGUUUACAAAUUCAGAAUAAACUAUCACAUGUGCUGCACACAUAGAACGAGGACUGCGCAUGUGCAUCUCUGCUGAGAGUGUUCCUUUGAAAAGGCUCCAACUAGCUGGGCGCGGUGGCGCAUGCCUGCAGUUCCAGCUAUUUGGGAGGCUGAGGCAGGAGAAUCACUGGAGCCC
Microcebus murinus (gray mouse lemur) is the source of this 1468-nucleotide long non-coding RNA. RefSeq lists it as uncharacterized. NCBI's taxonomy places the organism in Eukaryota, Metazoa, Chordata, Mammalia, Primates, Cheirogaleidae. The record is from RefSeq and is a predicted model, not a curated record.